AUUUUGCUCUUUUGAGCUGUAUUGUGUGGAGUGGACAAAGCCACCAUGCUGUGAUGUGAAGGGACAAUGAUGGCGGUACAUAGUCAUGGUUCAGCGUCAGCCUAGGGUCAAGUGAGUGACGUGGAUUUUAGCUUGUGAUUAUGAACUCCACUGUGCACGCAUGACGGUCGUCACUUUCACGUCAUAUGAUACGAGUGCUUGUCUUGAGGAGGCUCUUCUUCUCUCGUAUUAUGCAACAGACAAUUCACCAUGUUCUAUCAAUGAGUGUUGGGCAGCACUCUGUUCUUUGUAGUGGUGUGCCGGGGAGGCAGCACCAAGGCGGGGGAGGCAGGCAGGAUUAACAUACUGGUGAGAAAGGCUGCCUCUGUUGUGUGGCUGAACAUGGACAGCCUGAAGGCAUAGGCAGAGGGAGGAUGACGACCAAAUUGAACUCUGUCUUCAACAACACCUCCCACCCUUCUGUGAACUGAUGCAGAGACCCCCUUUCAGCCUCCACCCCCGUCCUGCAAGGUGCCUUGCAGAGCACCUUUGAGUGUUCCUUUGUGCUGUCAGACUUUACAGCACUCCCUCAUCUUCCUUCCAGUCUCGACUCACUAGUUGUUUUUGAAGAACAACAUCUGCAUGACAGCAUCUAUACAAACUGCCCUGGACUGCUUCUGUGGGUUCAUCUGCAUGCUAUCUUAACUGCACAUACAUAUGCAGAUCACUGCGACCUCACUUGAAGCAGAGGGAAACAGGUAACAUAGCUUCGCCUGAAGUCAAUGGAACAAGGAACAAUAUUUUACCUGUGGCUUAUUUAACCACCAGGACAUGUGGUUCAUUGUUGCAGGGAGACUCAGAGGGUGAAAUCACGGCCUGUUUUGUCAUCAUUAGUCAUGAGGCCCAACUGCUGGUGUGUAACUAUGGAUGAGUAAGCUUUGUAGAACAACAACAACAAAAACUACAGACGGCAUAGUAGGCCUACCCACACUUCAGCACUGUUUGUUCUGUAUUGUUUCCAAUCCAAUAACUUAGAGCUAAUUAUGAGUGAAUGUGUGUCUCUGAUUCACUUGAAACCACAAGUUCAAUCUGCAUUAUUCUCAUGAGUCAAUUACAGAUAAGACACAUGACAUUUCCAGAAAGACUGGCUCCGCACUAAAACACCCUUAAGUGCUUUAUUACUUUUUCUUGUUCUGAUAAGAACAGAAUCAUUUUCAUUUCAGGGAAGGCUGUCAAGUUGGAGUGCCCAGGUAACUUUAGCACUGAAUUAAAGAAAAAGAAAAAAACCUAGUGGAAACUUCAGAGUUAAUAAAUGAUCAGGUUUACAUGAAAAGUUCUAUUGUAAUGAAAAACAAUAAAAGUGGGCCUU
Molecule: long non-coding RNA, 1348 nt
Organism: Seriola aureovittata
Lineage: Eukaryota; Metazoa; Chordata; Actinopteri; Carangiformes; Carangidae
Exons: 3
Source: RefSeq, a predicted model, not a curated record